CGAUAAGUGCGAGUGUCUGUGUGAGUGAGAGUGUGGAACAAGGAGAAAAAGAGCGAAGAGGGGACAGUGAAGAUGUUAGUGGGUGCGACAGAGGGACUGCUGAAGAACCAGCAGGUGCCAUGUGCGAUUGGCCAGCGCACCCCGUGGACGUGGCAUCGCCCUGGAUUUGGCGAGAAGCUCUCCCCGCUGCUUGUUCUCCAGCGCUCCUCCGGGAAGCAUUCGUGGGAUUUAUCUCUUUUCCUGCUGGAUGGCACUGAGCUCUCUGCCUCUCUGAGGAAAAAAGUCCAGAGAGAAGAUACACACUACACGGAGAAGAAGUAAAAUAAUUAUCCAAUCACAGCACAAGAAGGCAGACCAGGUUCCCUUAGCAACAACUGAAGGAGAGAAGAGAAUCCUUCUCUGUUUGUGCUCCCUUGGUUUUUGGGCACACCCCGGAGGACUGCUGUGGGUCAGUGUGUUCUGAGAGGACUUAGAGAGCGCCGUUGCAUAAGACAAGCUGCCACCCAAAUUCCAGGAAAAAAAGGUGCUCGCUUCUCCUUCCAGCCUCCUUUUUAAACUGUGUCUCAUCGACACCAUGAUUUUUUUGUUAUCCCUCCACAAAUUCUCAUCAGGGGUCACGUUUCGCCGGCUUGGAAAUCAAUUCAUCCUGAUCCCGAGCCACCUGGAAUAAGCCCUGCUUUGGGGUGGGGGGGGGGCGCUGAGGUGGGGAUUGGACGCUCUUUGAAAAGACCCACACCUGCCGUCCUCCCUUUCACGGACAGGAAAACAUGAUUAAGUCAUCAUCUGCAAAGAAAAGGGAUGUGAAGCCAAGUUUAUUUUGACGCGAGUUUCUACAGAAAUUCUUUUAUAUAUUUUUUUCCCUCGAGGGGAAAACGCC
This is a long non-coding RNA of Gasterosteus aculeatus aculeatus (three-spined stickleback), 877 nucleotides long. The record is from Ensembl. Lineage: Eukaryota; Metazoa; Chordata; Actinopteri; Perciformes; Gasterosteidae.